AGAGUUUGAUCCUGGCUCAGGACGAACGCUGGCGGCGCGCCUAACACAUGCAAGUCGAACGAGCGAGAGAGAGCUUGCUUUCUCAAGCGAGUGGCGAACGGGUGAGUAACGCGUGAGGAACCUGCCUCAAAGAGGGGGACAACAGUUGGAAACGACUGCUAAUACCGCAUAAGCGCACAGCUUCGCAUGAAGCAGUGUGAAAAACUCCGGUGGUACAAGAUGGACCCGCGUCUGAUUAGCUGGUUGGUGAGGUAACGGCCACCAAGGCGACGAUCAGUAGCCGGCCUGAGAGGGUGAACGGCCACAUUGGGACUGAGACACGGCCCAAACUCCUACGGGAGGCA
RNAcentral lists this ribosomal RNA (344 nucleotides) under uncultured bacterium. RNAcentral's name for it is "bacterial SSU rRNA". It matches the Rfam family "Bacterial small subunit ribosomal RNA", at positions 8 to 350 of the family's 1533-position model. The record is from RNAcentral.